Molecule: transfer RNA, 66 nt
Filed under: Nasutitermes gracilirostris
Lineage: Eukaryota; Metazoa; Arthropoda; Insecta; Blattodea; Termitidae
Description: tRNA-Ala
Rfam family: tRNA
About the family: Transfer RNA (tRNA) molecules are approximately 80 nucleotides in length. Their secondary structure includes four short double-helical elements and three loops (D, anti-codon, and T loops).
Source: RNAcentral
GGGGCUAUAGUUAAUAAUAACAUUUGAUUUGCAUUCAAAAGGUACUGCCCAUAGUAGUUAGCCUCA